This 258-nucleotide ribosomal RNA is filed under the name Variovorax sp. ISO211_OTU223. RNAcentral describes it as "partial 16S ribosomal RNA". It matches the Rfam family "Bacterial small subunit ribosomal RNA", at positions 30 to 289 of the family's 1533-position model. Lineage: Bacteria; Pseudomonadati; Pseudomonadota; Betaproteobacteria; Burkholderiales; Comamonadaceae. RNAcentral also lists the same sequence under 4 other names. The record is from RNAcentral.
UUGAACGCUGGCGGCAUGCCUUACACAUGCAAGUCGAACGGCAGCGCGGGAGCAAUCCUGGCGGCGAGUGGCGAACGGGUGAGUAAUACAUCGGAACGUGCCCAAUCGUGGGGGAUAACGCAGCGAAAGCUGUGCUAAUACCGCAUAAGAUCUACGGAUGAAAGCAGGGGAUCGCAAGACCUUGCGCGAAUGGAGCGGCCGAUGGCAGAUUAGGUAGUUGGUGAGGUAAAGGCUCACCAAGCCUUCGAUCUGUAGCUG